GAUGAACGCUGGCGGCGUGCCUAAUACAUGCAAGUCGAGCGAACAGACGAGGAGCUUGCCCCUCUGACGUUAGCGGCGGACGGGUGAGUAACACGUGGAUAACCUACCUAUAAGACUGGGAUAACUUCGGGAAACCGGCGCUAAUACCGGAUAAUAUAUUGAACCGCAUGGUUCAAUAGUGAAAGACGGUUUUGCUGUCACUUCUAGAUGGAUCCGCGCCGCAUUAGCUAGUUGGUAAGGUAACGGCUUACCAAGGCAACGAUGCGUAGCCGACCUGAGAGGGUGAUCGGCCACACUGGAACUGAGACACGGUCCAGACUCCUACGGGAGGCAGCAGUAGGGAAUCUUCCGCAAUGGGCGAAAGCCUGACGGAGCAACGCCGCGUGAGUGAUGAAGGUCUUCGGAUCGUAAAACUCUGUUAUUAGGGAAGAACAAAUGUGUAAGUAACUAUGCACGUCUUGACGGUACCUAAUCAGAAAGCCACGGCUAACUACGUG
This 497-nucleotide ribosomal RNA is filed under the name uncultured bacterium. RNAcentral's name for it is "partial 16S ribosomal RNA". It matches the Rfam family "Bacterial small subunit ribosomal RNA", at positions 28 to 507 of the family's 1533-position model. The record is from RNAcentral.